CCUACGGGUGGCAGCAGUAGGGAAUAUUGCUCAAUGGGGGAAACCCUGAAGCAGCAACGCCGCGUGGAGGAUGAAGGUUUUCGGAUUGUAAACUCCUUUUGUUAGAGAAGAUAAUGACGGUAUCUAACGAAUAAGCACCGGCUAACUCCGUGCCAGCAGCCGCGGUAAUACGGAGGGUGCAAGCGUUACUCGGAAUCACUGGGCGUAAAGAGCGUGUAGGCGGGAUAGCAAGUCAGAUGUGAAAUCCUAUGGCUUAACCAUAGAACUGCAUUUGAAACUGGUAUUCUAGAGUAUGGGAGAGGUAGGUGGAAUGCUUGGUGUAGGGGUAAAAUGCGUAGAGAUCAAGAGGAAUACUCAUUGCGAAGGCGACCUGCUAGAACAUAACUGACGCUGAUGCGCGAAAGCGUGGGGAGCAAACAGGAUUAGAUACCCCAGUAGUC
RNAcentral lists this ribosomal RNA (440 nucleotides) under uncultured bacterium. RNAcentral's name for it is "partial 16S ribosomal RNA". It matches the Rfam family "Bacterial small subunit ribosomal RNA", at positions 338 to 795 of the family's 1533-position model. The record is from RNAcentral.